AUGGGCGGCGUCGUUGACGAACGGCCUCAUCCCUCCGUCGUCGGCGGAGAGGCUUCGUCCCACCCCACCGACCUGGUGCUCGUCAACGCCAUGUACUUCAAGGGACAGUGGAACAAGACAUUCUUGGACAAGGCACGCCAUCUGUUUCACCGCCUCGACCGCACCGCCGUCGACGCGCCCUUCAUGCGCGGCUUCGGCGCACAAAGAAUCGCGUGCCAUGACGGCUUCAAGGUGCUCCAGCUGUGUUACAAGCAAGCCACCAAGCACCGGCUUCAAGGAGGCUGCCCCUUGCCGGCACCGAUCUACUCCAUGUUCGUCUUCCUUCCUGACGCGCUGGAUGGGCUGUGGCGGCUCAUCGACAUGAUCGCUUGCGACCCUGAAUUUCUGCGCAAGCACCUGCCUAGGAGCGACGUCGAGGUCGGCGAGUUCCGGCUGCCUAAGCUCAAGGUCAGCUUCGGCAUGACGAUGAACGGCAUUCUCCGGGGCAUGGGGCUCAAGGAGGCUUUUGAGCCGGGGAAGGCCGAUCUGUCCGACGUGACGGAGGACGGCCCAAGAGAAAGGAGGAGGCUGGAGCAGGUGGUCCACAGGGCCAUCAUUGAGGUGAACGAGGAAGGCACCGAGGCCACGGCUGCCACCAUGAUGGACACUUGCUUGCGCACUACUCUCUCCGUCCAGAAAAACUUGUCGGAGAAAUGGAUGUAUCUAGACGGAUUUAAGUUUUAG
This 723-nucleotide ribosomal RNA is filed under the name Triticum aestivum (bread wheat). Its description in RNAcentral is "partial small subunit ribosomal RNA". The record is from RNAcentral. Lineage: Eukaryota; Viridiplantae; Streptophyta; Magnoliopsida; Poales; Poaceae.